CCUACGGGCGGCAGCAGUCGAGAAUCAUUCACAAUGGGGGAAACCCUGAUGGUGCGACGCCGCGUGGGGGAAUGAAGGUCUUCGGAUUGUAAACCCCUGUCAUGUGGGAGCAAAUUAAAAAGAUAGUACCACAAGAGGAAGAGACGGCUAACUCUGUGCCAGCAGCCGCGGUAAUACAGAGGUCUCAAGCGUUGUUCGGAAUCACUGGGCGUAAAGCGUGCGUAGGCUGUUUCGUAAGUCGUGUGUGAAAGGCGCGGGCUCAACCCGCGGACGGCACAUGAUACUGGGAGACUAGAGUAAGGGAGGGGGAACCGGAAUUCGCGGUGUAGCAGUGAAAUGCGUAGAUAUCGAGAGGAACACUCGUGGCGAAGGCGGGUUCCUGGACAUUAACUGACGCUGAGGCACGAAGGCCAGGGGAGCGAAAGGGAUUAGAUACCCCAGUAGUC
RNAcentral lists this ribosomal RNA (446 nucleotides) under uncultured bacterium. RNAcentral's name for it is "partial 16S ribosomal RNA". It matches the Rfam family "Bacterial small subunit ribosomal RNA", at positions 338 to 795 of the family's 1533-position model. The record is from RNAcentral.